UUUCGAAUCAUUCACAAUGGGCGAAAGCCUGAUGGUGCGACGCCGCGUGAGGGAUGAAGGUCUUCGGAUUGUAAACCUCUGUCACCGGGGAAGAAACGCUUUGAGUUAAUAGUUCAAAGCCUGACUUAACCCGGAGAGGAAGCAGUGGCUAACUCUGUGCCAGCAGCCGCGGUAAUACAGAGACUGCAAGCGUUAUUCGGAUUCACUGGGCGUAAAGGGUGCGCAGGCGGCCAAGUGUGUGAGGCGUGAAAGCCCGAGGCUCAACCUCGGAAUUGCACCUCAAACUACAUGGCUAGAGCAUUGGAGAGGGUAGCAGAAUUCAUGGUGUAGCAGUGAAAUGCGUAGAUAUCAUGAGGAAUACCAGAGGCGAAGGCGGCUACCUGGACAAUUGCUG
Molecule: ribosomal RNA, 394 nt
Filed under: uncultured Opitutus sp.
Lineage: Bacteria; Pseudomonadati; Verrucomicrobiota; Opitutia; Opitutales; Opitutaceae
Description: bacterial SSU rRNA
Rfam family: Bacterial small subunit ribosomal RNA
Source: RNAcentral